UACGUAGGGGGCGAGCGUUACCCGGAUUUACUGGGCGUAAAGAGCGUGUAGGCGGCUGGCCAAGCGUGAUGUGAAAUCUUCGGGCUUAACCCGAAAACUGCAUUGCGAACUGGUCUGGCUAGAGUGUGUGAGAGGGUAGUGGAAUUCCUGGUGUAGCGGUGAAAUGCGUAGAUAUCAGGAGGAACACCGGUGGUGUAAACGGCUUUCUGGACCAUAACUGACGCUGAGGCACGAAAGCGUGGGUAGCAAACAGG
This 254-nucleotide ribosomal RNA is filed under the name uncultured bacterium. RNAcentral's name for it is "partial 16S ribosomal RNA". It matches the Rfam family "Bacterial small subunit ribosomal RNA", at positions 524 to 776 of the family's 1533-position model. The record is from RNAcentral.